GAUAAAGUGCCUGAAAAAGGAUUAUCUUGAUAGGAUAAAACAUGUAAUUUUUUAUUACCUUUAUUA
This 66-nucleotide transfer RNA is filed under the name Alectorobius puertoricensis. RNAcentral describes it as "tRNA-Ile". Lineage: Eukaryota; Metazoa; Arthropoda; Arachnida; Ixodida; Argasidae. The record is from RNAcentral.